AACAAAAGAAAAAAGAGAACCUUCUCUUCUCUGUAACUGUGUAUCUCUUCCGCAAGAGAUUAUUAGCUGAUGAUUCUGAUCACAAAUCAGUUAAAGGUGACGCUUAAGGUUUAUGCAACCAAUUCCGUGAUCUAUGAAAACUCAAUUGUGGAUGGAGAGGUAUUACAAAAGGAAGGCGACAGUUGAUUUAUCAUGGCCUUCAAAACGAGGUGGUGGCAGUACAAAUAAACUUGGUAUCUCAACCCUGGAUCCAAAGGAUAAAGUUUGCAUAUGCAAAGCAUAAUCCAGUCCUGUAAUUUGUUUGGUUGAGGAGGAAGCUGUGCUAAAAAUGCUUUUGGAACUUGAAAUAUAUCUUGAUGGUUGUGUCCGAA
Papaver somniferum (opium poppy) is the source of this 371-nucleotide long non-coding RNA. RefSeq lists it as uncharacterized. Lineage: Eukaryota; Viridiplantae; Streptophyta; Magnoliopsida; Ranunculales; Papaveraceae. The transcript has 3 exons. The record is from RefSeq and is a predicted model, not a curated record.